UACGUAGGGAGCAAGCGUUGUCCGGAAUUACUGGGCGUAAAGGGCGCGUAGGUGGGCGCUUAAGUCAGGUGUGAAAACUCCGGGCUCAACCUGGAGACUGCACUUGAAACUGGGUGUCUUGAGGGCAGGAGAGGAAAGUGGAAUUCCUAGUGUAGCGGUGAAAUGCGUAGAUAUUAAGAGGAACACCAGUGGCGAAGGCGACUUUCUGGACUGUACCUGACGCUGAGGCGCGAAAGCGUGGGUAGCGAACGGG
Molecule: ribosomal RNA, 253 nt
Filed under: uncultured bacterium
Lineage: Bacteria
Description: partial 16S ribosomal RNA
Rfam family: Bacterial small subunit ribosomal RNA
Source: RNAcentral